UGGACUAUGAUUUCAUUAAAAAUUUAAAUUCAACAAAUCCUAACCUGACAUGUGGUGAGUUCAUUAAAAAUAAAAAUAAAAAACAAUAAAAACAAAAAACAAGUGAAAAUAUAUACCAGUUUCCUCUCUCAUCAUGUUUUCUUUUAUUGAAUACAAAUAAAGGACCUUUUCUCUUUCUCAAAUAAAAGCAAAGUAAAUAUAUUUGUCAAAAUGGAAAGCAGAGAAAAAAAUAAAAACGUAACAUGAAAAAUAAAAGAGUGUUUCAAAAGGGUGAUGAAGAGUCGCGGUUACUGCGCCGGUAUCGUGCAAAAUGGCGGUUCCGUUUCGCAUUUUUUCGUGUUUCAAAAAUGUGGUGAUGUUAUUGUGUGAGCCGAUAGUUUUUAUGGAGUGUUGAAGAAUGAAAUGAAAGUUAGAGGUGAGAUGUUGUAUGGCUUAUGGAAGAACGAUGAGAAAAAAAAUGAAGAGGUUAUGUGGUUGGAUUCAUGCGUGACAAUGUUUGUGAUGAAGUUGUUGGUUUGAAUUUUUGUUUGUGGUUUGUAUAAAGUGAAAUGAGGCAUGAAUAAUGGGUGGUUUAUGAUUUGUUUAAUGUUGUUGUGAAGAAAAGAGAGAAAUGUUAUGAAGGUGGUAUUAAUUGUGUGUAGUGAAGGGAAAUGAAAUUGUAGUUAUGGUUGGUGUGUGUUGUUUUCUUCAUUGCAAGUGAUGAUAUGUGAGUAGAGAAUGAGGUAGUUCAUGGUGAAAGGUGGAGGAACAAACUUUGAUGAAUGGUGGUAUGAAGGCAUACGAU
Molecule: long non-coding RNA, 784 nt
Filed under: Lathyrus oleraceus (garden pea)
Lineage: Eukaryota; Viridiplantae; Streptophyta; Magnoliopsida; Fabales; Fabaceae
Description: Pisum sativum (pea) long non-coding RNA (PSAT_LNC039880)
Source: RNAcentral